GGGUUGUGAGGUUAAGCGAAUAAGCGUACACGGUGGAUGCCUAGGCAAUCAGAGGCGAUGAAGGACGUGCUAAUCUGCGAAAAGCGUCGGUAAGGUGAUAUGAACCGUUAUACCCGACGAUAUCCGAAUGGGGAAACCCAGUAUCCAAUGGAUACUAUCAUUA
Molecule: ribosomal RNA, 163 nt
Filed under: Proteus mirabilis
Lineage: Bacteria; Pseudomonadati; Pseudomonadota; Gammaproteobacteria; Enterobacterales; Morganellaceae
Description: partial 23S ribosomal RNA
Rfam family: Bacterial large subunit ribosomal RNA
Source: RNAcentral